AACGUAGGAGACAAACGUUAUCCGGAGUUACUGGGCGUAAAGCGCGUGUAGGUGGUGGGGCAAGUCGGAUGUGAAAGCCCAGGGCUCAACCCUGGAAGUGCAUUCGAUACUGCUUCACUGGAGUCCCGGAGAGGAUGGUGGAACUCUCGGUGUAGAGGUGAAAUUCGUAGAUAUCGAGAAGAACACCGGCGGCGAAGGCGGCCAUCUGGACGGUGACUGACACUGAGACGCGAAAGCGUGGGGAGCAAACAGG
This 253-nucleotide ribosomal RNA is filed under the name uncultured bacterium. RNAcentral describes it as "partial 16S ribosomal RNA". It matches the Rfam family "Bacterial small subunit ribosomal RNA", at positions 524 to 776 of the family's 1533-position model. The record is from RNAcentral.